RNAcentral lists this ribosomal RNA (172 nucleotides) under Opitutales bacterium TMED158. RNAcentral describes it as "partial 23S ribosomal RNA". It matches the Rfam family "Bacterial large subunit ribosomal RNA", at positions 2743 to 2925 of the family's 2925-position model. Lineage: Bacteria; Pseudomonadati; Verrucomicrobiota; Opitutia; Opitutales. The record is from RNAcentral.
GGGUAGCUAAGUCCGGAAUGGAUAAGCGCUGAAAGCAUCUAAGCGCCAAGCCAAUCCCAAGAUAAAUUUUCCCUUGAGAGUCGUGGAAGACCACCACGUCGAUAGGCUGGAUGUGUAAGUACGGUAACGUAUUGAGCUAACCAGUACUAAUUACUCGAUAGAUUUAGUCGUU